UAUUUGAAUAAUCAUGAUGUUAGAAAAUUACUAUCAUUAAAUCUCACAAUGAGAGAUAUUCAGCAACAGUACUUUGGAGUAAAGAUUGUUAGCCAACAUAACAUGGCAGUCCUGGUUUAGAACGAAUGUUGCUGUAAUUUAGCCCCAGGAUACAUCAU
Molecule: long non-coding RNA, 158 nt
Organism: Octopus sinensis (East Asian common octopus)
Lineage: Eukaryota; Metazoa; Mollusca; Cephalopoda; Octopoda; Octopodidae
Exons: 3
Source: RefSeq, a predicted model, not a curated record